GAUGAAGAACGUAGCGAAAUGCGAUACGUAAUGUGAAUUGCAGAAUUCAGUGAAUCAUCGAAUCUUUGAACGCAUAUUGCGCUCUCUGGUAUUCCGGAGAGCAUGCUUGUUUGAGUAUCAGUAAACACCUCAACUUCCAUAUCUUUUUUGAAAUGGGAGUUGGACUUGAGUGAUCCCAACGCUUUUCCUCACCGAAAAGUGGCGGGUUACUUGAAAUGCAGGUGCAGCUGGACUUUUCUCUGGGCUAUAAGCAUAUCUAUUUAGUCUGCCUAAAAACAGAUUAUUACCUUUGCUGCAGCUAACAUAAAGGAGAUUAGUUCUUGUGCUGACUGAUGCAGGAUUCACAAAGACAGGCUUCGGCCGACUUUGUAAACUCGAUCUCAAAUCAAGUAAGACUACCCGCUGAACUUAAGCAUAUCAAUAAGCGGAGGA
RNAcentral lists this unclassified non-coding RNA (432 nucleotides) under soil metagenome. Its description in RNAcentral is "partial contains 5.8S ribosomal RNA, internal transcribed spacer 2, and large subunit ribosomal RNA". The stretch from base 1 to 120 matches the Rfam family "5.8S ribosomal RNA", at positions 35 to 154 of the family's 154-position model. The record is from RNAcentral.